This 1012-nucleotide long non-coding RNA is filed under the name Homo sapiens (human). RNAcentral describes it as "HSALNT0132717". Lineage: Eukaryota; Metazoa; Chordata; Mammalia; Primates; Hominidae. The record is from RNAcentral.
GGGCACUCAUUUUGCAAGCUCGCAGAAAGUGUGGUCAUGCCAACUCUGAAUUCUCUGACAUUGGAAUAGAUCGAAAGCAUCCUACAAUCGCCGCCCGCCAGGCGCCCACGUGACCUCGUUGUCUUUGCGGCAUGUGCAAACUUGUUCACAGCUGUGGCUGUUGUCAUCACUUCAGCGGGAUUAUGUGCACUGUUGGCACUUCAUGUGCCGGGUUUAAUUGCCAUGUAAAAUGCCUUCAGAAAGAUUAUACUAUGAUUCAGCAUUGAAAGGAAAACUUACGGUGUAUUCAGAAAGAGCAGACACCUUCAUAGAACUCCCUCAUCCCACACAAGACGCAAGUCAGAAAAAACAAAUCUCUACUCAAUUGUCCUGCUGUCUGUGACCUGGGAAAAGAGACUGUCUGAGGGAUGAGUUGGGUCUCUUGUAACUGCAACAAAGUGAAUGUCUCCGGAUGUUCUAAAAGACCCUUCUCAGAGGCCCCAGGAACCUUCCUGCAAACCAAGACUUCCCUCCAGGCACCUUGUUUACCCCGAUGUGACCAAUUCUAUCUAUGCAGAAGCUGCCUAUCCAGUUUUUAAUAUAAGUUGGGCAGAUGUCAGCUCAAGAAGAAGGAAUGAGGGGAGGCACUCAAAGGCGACUCUCACCAAAAAGGAUUUCUUCGUAUUCUGACUUCCAGAGUACAGUCGCUAUCUAUAAAAUAUCCUCCCUCUCCGGCCUCCCACCCUCAGCUGUCAAGAGAUGACUAUUCUGCAUACAGACUGUCAAUGGAUUUCAGCCUUCCAGUUCCACUUCUUCCUCUUCCCCAGCUGUUAGCAUCUAGUUCUGUGCUGUCCAACCCAAUCACAAUAUGCCACCUGAUGCUACUGAACACUCUGAAUAUGGUGAGCUUGAAUUGAAGUGUGACACAGUGUAGAACACACAGACUUUGAAGGCUUAGCACCAAAAAAAGAAUGUAGAUCUCUCACCAAUAAUUUUAAUAUUGAGUACAUGUUGAAAUGAAGCCAUUUUAGAU